This 1346-nucleotide ribosomal RNA is filed under the name uncultured bacterium. RNAcentral's name for it is "bacterial SSU rRNA". It matches the Rfam family "Bacterial small subunit ribosomal RNA", at positions 28 to 1381 of the family's 1533-position model. The record is from RNAcentral.
GACGAACGCUGGCGGCGUGCUUAACACAUGCAAGUCGAACGGAAAGGCCCUGCUUUUGUGGGGUGCUCGAGUGGCGAACGGGUGAGUAACACGUGAGUAACCUGCCCUUGACUUUGGGAUAACUUCAGGAAACUGGGGCUAAUACCGGAUAGGAGCUCCUGCUGCAUGGUGGGGGUUGGAAAGUUUCGGCGGUUGGGGAUGGACUCGCGGCUUAUCAGCUUGUUGGUGGGGUAGUGGCUUACCAAGGCUUUGACGGGUAGCCGGCCUGAGAGGGUGACCGGCCACAUUGGGACUGAGAUACGGCCCAGACUCCUACGGGAGGCAGCAGUGGGGAAUAUUGCACAAUGGGCGGAAGCCUGAUGCAGCAACGCCGCGUGCGGGAUGACGGCCUUCGGGUUGUAAACCGCUUUCGCCUGUGACGAAGCGUGAGUGACGGUAAUGGGUAAAGAAGCACCGGCUAACUACGUGCCAGCAGCCGCGGUGAUACGUGGGGUGCGAGCGUUGUCCGGAUUUAUUGGGCGUAAAGGGCUCGUAGGUGGUUGAUCGCGUCGGAAGUGUAAUCUUGGGGCUUAACCCUGAGCGUGCUUUCGAUACGGGUUGACUUGAGGAAGGUAGGGGAGAAUGGAAUUCCUGGUGGAGCGGUGGAAUGCGCAGAUAUCAGGAGGAACACCAGUGGCGAAGGCGGUUCUCUGGGCCUUUCCUGACGCUGAGGAGCGAAAGCGUGGGGAGCGAACAGGCUUAGAUACCCUGGUAGUCCACGCUGUAAACGGUGGGUACUAGGUGUGGGGUCCAUUCCACGGGUUCCGUGCCGUAGCUAACGCUUUAAGUACCCCGCCUGGGGAGUACGGCCGCAAGGCUAAAACUCAAAGGAAUUGACGGGGCCCCGCACAAGCGGCGGAGCAUGCGGAUUAAUUCGAUGCAACGCGUAGAACCUUACCCGGGUUUGACAUGGAUCGGGAGCGCUCAGAGAUGGGUGUGCCUCUUUUGGGGUCGGUUCACAGGUGGUGCAUGGCUGUCGUCAGCUCGUGUCGUGAGAUGUUGGGUUAAGUCCCGCAACGAGCGCAACCCUUGUUCACUGUUGCCAGCACGUUAUGGUGGGGACUCAGUGGAGACCGCCGGGGUCAACUCGGAGGAAGGUGGGGAUGACGUCAAGUCAUCAUGCCCCUUAUGUCCAGGGCUUCACGCAUGCUACAAUGGCUGGUACAGAGAGUGGCGAGCCUGUGAGGGUGAGCGAAUCUCGGAAAGCCGGUCUCAGUUCGGAUUGGGGUCUGCAACUCGACCUCAUGAAGUCGGAGUCGCUAGUAAUCGCAGAUCAGCAACGCUGCGGUGAAUACGUUCCCGGGGCU